CCCUUAGAUGUCCUGGGCUGCACGCGUGCUACAAUGAUACGUGCAACGAGUUAAUCCUGCUCUGAAAGGAGUGGGUAAUCUUAUGAAUGCGUAUCGUGCUUGGGAUUGACCAUUGUAAUUAUUGGUCAUGAACGAGGAAUUCCUAGUAAGCACAAGUCAUCAGCUUGUGCUGAUUACGUCCCUGCCCUUUGUACACACCGCCCGUCGCUCCUACCGAUUGAGUGUUCCGGUGAAUUAUUCGGACUGCAACAGUUAUCUGUCGCGGAAAGUCUUGUGAACCUUAACACUUAGAGGAAGGAAAAGCCGUAACA
This 311-nucleotide ribosomal RNA is filed under the name uncultured eukaryote. RNAcentral's name for it is "partial 18S ribosomal RNA". It matches the Rfam family "Eukaryotic small subunit ribosomal RNA", at positions 1470 to 1796 of the family's 1831-position model. The record is from RNAcentral.